RNAcentral lists this non-coding RNA (30 nucleotides) under Homo sapiens (human). The record is from RNAcentral. Lineage: Eukaryota; Metazoa; Chordata; Mammalia; Primates; Hominidae.
UCAAGGUUCGCAUUGCGUUAGUAAUGCCUG